This 1227-nucleotide non-coding RNA is filed under the name Pan troglodytes (chimpanzee). The record is from RNAcentral. Lineage: Eukaryota; Metazoa; Chordata; Mammalia; Primates; Hominidae.
GCCUUUGGGGGCGGGAGCAGAGAGACAAGGAAAUGCUGUCACCGCUGUUAACACGCACGUGGAGGUUGGUUAAAGGGAAGACCUGGGUUUUAGUCCUGUCUCCAUCAACCUCAAGAAAUGGGACCUCAUGGAAGGGAGGGGAGGCAAUGCCGAGGAUGUGCUCCUGAGCAGGUGCCACAAUUCUUCACCUGUAAGAUUGCUGACAGAAAAGUGAGACCUCCUCCACCCCAAGGUCUCCUAAGAGAAUGCUGCUAGCCAAAAAAAGAUCUGCUGAUAAUUGAGGAAGAGCAUCUUUAAAAAGACACUCAACUACAUUUCAGAAACAUAAAGAUCUAAGUGUUGGCUCUACAAGGGAAGAAAUAAAGAGAAAGAACUUUUUUUCCUCCUACAACAGGUCUAGACAACGUCAUACAAGGAGUUGCACGCAUAUUCAAAACAAAAGCAAGGCAAAAACAAGCAAAAAAGCAACAAAUGCAUUCCAAAAUGAUGUCCAUUUAUCAGCCCAGAAAUGUACUGGAUACUGGUUUAGUUCAGCCUGUAGGUGCUGGGAAGAAAUUCCGACAAAUCCAAGUCAGUAGCAAAAAGGGAAAACUCCAGACAUAUCACCCAAUGAACUUGUAAGAAAGCAUAUGAGCUUCCCUGAACAGAUUUUACUCCAGGUUUGCAGCCCGCAAGGUUUAAGAUCGGGCCAUGAGGUUAAAUCUUAUAAACUCAGAAGUGUUCACGCUACUGCAUCCCUAAACUCUGUAAUUCUCUACAUACCCUUUAAAGCAGUGUUUCUCUGCAUCUUUCAUUCCAUAGCCAUUGUCCACCUGAUCCAAAAUAUCCUAAAUUUUUCAGUGUUUGGAAGCAGGGUUUCCAAUUUUUGUGUAUACAGAAAAGGGGGGGGGGUGUGUGAAAAAAUAAGUAUUAGAAAAAAAACAUGUUAUACAUAUCUAUCACAGAAAUGAGUGGGCAAGGUUUAGAAGAUGGCUGAAACAAAGCCAAUACUAAGGUCUACUGGUUGGCUGCAACAAGUUUAAAAUGUCUUCAUAAGGGCCCUGGUUGGGCAAUACUAUACUUGCUGACAGUACUUGGGAUCUGCCACAGACCUAUAGCAAAGGACUGUUCAACUUCUCCAAAAAGCUGGUAUUAACCACCAGAAGAAAUAAGAAGUUCAAGGCCAAAAUAUCCAAAUGAACCAACCACUCUACUUGCUGAAAUGCCAUAAAGCUUCUUUACCCCAGA